CACCAAGAAAAUUGAUGCGAUGGCCUGUCUUAAGUUGGCUUCCUCUAUUGGUCUUUUAUCUGACAAGACACCUUUGGCAAAGUCUCAUCAAUAUGCUACUUUUCAUCUGCCUGACACUGAAAUCAAUGGACUGCAGAAGAAGCCUCUCGAUCAGCAUUGUCAGAAAUGAUCACCAUGCUGGACGGAGCAUGCUACCUGAUUUCUCCUGACUGAACUCCCACAAAAGCAUGGCUGCAAAUCCCAGAGAAAGAAGAAAGAGAACUUACAUAAAGGAGGCUUUCUGGAGAACUCGCUGUAAGAGGGUCAAUGCGGAAAUAUGGAAUGUGCUUAGGAGUCCACUGAAGCAGUCCAGCUUCCAGAUUUGGAAAUCACUGCUCCAGGAUGUUGCAAAAUCAAGAGAGAUGUUAAAUGAUUUGAAUGAAAACAUAUUUCAACAUCUGGGCAGUUCUCUGUAGCCACAAAGACUAGAAGAGCCGAGGCCACACCAUCUCCAAAUGCACCAGGUACAAAUGUCUGUUAUCCAAAAAUGCACAGAAAUAGAAUACUGUGUAGUACACUUUUUAGGUAAAUGAAUUGAAAAAUCAUAAUUUAAUAUGCUGUACCUUGUUCCCAUUGUACAGAGUGAUGUAUUUAAAUUACUAGCUUUUGCAUUUUUACUUUUUAAAAUUGGUUGUUGGAAAAUUAAAUCUGUCUUGCUUAUUGGGAGUCAAAGCUGCAACAUAAAAGAACAAUGUUGCCAUCUAGUGGUCAAUUGAAGACAUUAAUGAAUCAGACCAUUGCGAGAAGUUUCAAGUUGAAGGAAAAGACAGCUCAGGAAAUAAUGUAAAUAUA
Homo sapiens (human) is the source of this 831-nucleotide long non-coding RNA. RefSeq lists it as uncharacterized. The transcript has 3 exons. The record is from RefSeq and is a predicted model, not a curated record. NCBI's taxonomy places the organism in Eukaryota, Metazoa, Chordata, Mammalia, Primates, Hominidae.